This 484-nucleotide ribosomal RNA is filed under the name uncultured bacterium. Its description in RNAcentral is "partial 16S ribosomal RNA". It matches the Rfam family "Bacterial small subunit ribosomal RNA", at positions 30 to 507 of the family's 1533-position model. The record is from RNAcentral.
AUUGAACGCUGGCGGCAGGCCUAACACAUGCAAGUCGAGCGGAUGAAGGGAGCUUGCUCCUGGAUUCAGCGGCGGACGGGUGAGUAAUGCCUAGGAAUCUGCCUGGUAGUGGGGGAUAACGUCCUGAAACGGGCGCUAAUACCGCAUACGUCCUUAGGGAGAAAGUGGGGGAUCUUCGGACCUCACGCUAUCAUAUGAGCCGAGGUCGGAUUAGCUAGUUGGUGGGGUAAAGGCCUACCAAGGCGACGAUGCGUAACUGGUCUGAGAGGAUGAUCAGUCACACUAGAACUGAGACACGGUACAGACUCCUACGGGAGGCAGCAGUGGGGAAUAUUGGACUAUGGGCGAAAGCCUGAUCCAGCCAUGCCGCGUGUGUGAAGAAGGUCUUCGGAUUGUAAAGCACUUUAAGUUGGGAGGAAGGGCAGUAAGUUAAUACCUUGCUGUUUUGACGUUACCAACAGAAUAAGCACCGGCUAACUUCGUG